This 430-nucleotide ribosomal RNA is filed under the name uncultured Mycoplasma sp. RNAcentral describes it as "bacterial SSU rRNA". It matches the Rfam family "Bacterial small subunit ribosomal RNA", at positions 355 to 776 of the family's 1533-position model. The record is from RNAcentral. Lineage: Bacteria; Bacillati; Mycoplasmatota; Mollicutes; Mycoplasmatales; Mycoplasmataceae.
UAGGGAAUUUUUCACAAUGAGCGAAAGCUUGAUGGAGCAAUGCCGCGUGAACGAUGAAGGUCUUUUUGAUUGUAAAGUUCUUUUAUUUGGGAAGAAUGACUCUAGCAGGCAAUGGCUGGAGUUUGACUGUACCACUUUGAAUAAGUGACGACUAACUAUGUGCCAGCAGUCGCGGUAAUACAUAGGUCGCAAGCGUUAUCCGGAUUUAUUGGGCGUAAAGCAAGCGCAGGCGGAUUGAAAAGUCUGGUGUUAAAGGCAGCUGCUUAACAGUUGUAUGCAUUGGAAACUAUCAGUCUAGAGUGUGGUAGGGAGUUUUGGAAUUUCAUGUGGAGCGGUGAAAUGCGUAGAUAUAUGAAGGAACACCAGUGGCGAAGGCGAAAACUUAGGCCAUUACUGACGCUUAGGCUUGAAAGUGUGGGGAGCAAAUAGG